CCUACGGGAGGCUGCAGUGGGGAAUAUUGGGCAAUGGGCGCAAGCCUGACCCAGCAACGCCGCGUGAAGGAAUAAGGCUUUCGGGUUGUAAACUUCUUUUAAGAGGGAAGAGCAGAAGACGGUACCUCUUGAAUAAGCCACGACUAACUACGUGCCAUCAGCCGCGGUAAUACGUAGUUGGCAAGGGUUGUCCGAAUUUACUGGGUGUAAAGGGCGUGUAGCCGGGCUGAAAGAUCAGAUGUGAAAUCCGGGGGCUGAACCCCCGAACUGCAUUUGAAACUGUUGGUCUUGAGUAUCGGAGAGGCAGGAGGAAUUCCUAGUGUAGCGGUGAAAUGCGUAGAUAUUAGGAGGAACACCAGUGGCGAAGGCGGCCUGCUGGACGACAACUGACGGUGAGGCGCGAAAGCGUGGGGAGCAAACAGGAUUAGAUACCCUGGUAGUC
This 442-nucleotide ribosomal RNA is filed under the name uncultured bacterium. RNAcentral's name for it is "partial 16S ribosomal RNA". It matches the Rfam family "Bacterial small subunit ribosomal RNA", at positions 338 to 795 of the family's 1533-position model. The record is from RNAcentral.